Long non-coding RNA from Phycodurus eques (leafy seadragon), 2168 nucleotides. RefSeq lists it as uncharacterized. The transcript has 2 exons. The record is from RefSeq and is a predicted model, not a curated record. NCBI's taxonomy places the organism in Eukaryota, Metazoa, Chordata, Actinopteri, Syngnathiformes, Syngnathidae.
UCUUGUUAGAGCCGCACUUCCAAUUUGGAAUGUUCGCCCAAAUGUUUCAUUUUUGUCUGUGGCCGAAGGCUGCACGGAUGCUUCGAUUCCCGAGAAACCCACAAAGACCACCUCUUCAUUCAAAACCAAAAUAAUCACUUCCUAACACGAGGCUAAUUGUGUCGUUAUGUUCUCCUCCAAGUCGGGGGUGUCGCUACGGCUGCUAUCGGCUCGGACGCCGCAGGGUGCGGUUUCCGGCAGCCGUUUUUCCUUUCCUUUCCGGAACAAGGAACGAAGCAACGACAAUGGCGACCGUGGAACACCGUCUGCUAGAACAAAUGGACCUAGAUGACCAGAUGGUACGUUUCAUGAUGUAGUUCAACUCCACUCAUAUUUAAGUUAUUGGUUCAUGUGGAUGUAACUGUAACGUGUGCGGUGUGCAUUACCAAGUAUUGGGUACGGUUAAGCGAAUGCUUUUUUUGUACUGUGGAUAAGUGAUAUUCCUGCCACUUGGCAGCUGCUGAAAGAAGCUAAAAAGUUACUCGCUUCUAACUUGGUUACUUUUGAAAUCAAGUAAUCAGUAAAGCAAGUAAGUUACUUUUCCAAGGUAACUGCGGCAACACUGCCCGCCAGCGUCAGCUAUGUGAAACACGAGAUGAGCAAAGGACAGCUAACGACGCACCGGGGGGAGCUGCUCGCCGUGCGUCGACUUACUCGUAUUCGUGCGGUAUCCUGAUGACCGGCGACUUCAUGUCGUGGCCGCCGUGGCGCUCGUGAACGAGUUCGGGACGAGGCUCGCUUUUGAUUCGCUCGUGCACGUCGAAGGCGUCGCCUCGCCCGUCUGAUGAUUUUGGAGAUUGAACUGAGAGGCAACAAAGAAAAAGAUGUGAGCCGCCGGUCGCGCUUUGCGUUCGGUCACAUUCAAACAUGAGUUUCAAAUGGGUACGCGCCAUCUUGUACGGUAAUGAGAGAUCUCGAUUUACUCAAGUAACUUUGUGAAGUCUUUGUGAUUACUUUGAACUGCAACCGCAUUUGGUACAAACGUUUGUAUUUUGCUCGCUGGCUGGUCGUGCUCAGGAAGUUCGCCUUCCCUACCUUCGCGUGACUUUUGAGUAUACAGUGGGUACGGAAGGGAAGAAAUGAAUGCGGCCAAGUACGGGGAUGUCCUGGACCGAAACCUUCUCCAGAGUGCUCAGGACCUCCGAUUGGGCCGAAGGUUCACCUUCCAACAAGACAACGGCCCGAAGCGCACAGCUAAAAUACCGAAGGAGUGGCUUCAGAACAACUCAGUGACUGUUCUUGACUGGCCCGGCCAGAGCCCUGACUUAAACCCAAUUGAGCAUCUCUGGAGAGACCUGAAAAUGGCUGCCCACCGACGUUCAGCAUCCAACCUGACAGAACUGGAGAAGGAUCUGCAAGGAGGAACGGCGGAGGAUCCCCAAAUCCAGUUAUGAAGAACUUGUUGCAUCAUUCCCAAAAAGACUCGUGGCUGGAUUAGCUCAAAAGGGGCUUCUGCUAAAUACUCAGUAAAGGGUCUGAAUACUUAUGGCUGUGGGAUAUUUCAGUUUUUCUUUUUUAAUAAAUCAGCAAAAAUGUCAACAAUUCCGUUUUUUUUCCUGUCAAUACGGGGUGCUGUGUGGACAUGAAUGGGGGGGGGGGGGACUUCAAUGAUAUUAGCAAAGUUGAAGGGGGUCUGAAUACUUUCCGUAGCCACCGUAUGCUGCAUGCUCGUUGUUCAGCACAAUUUGGCUUUUGGCAUGCUGACAACAACAUUAGCAUUAGCUACCGCUGCUUUUGCGGCAGCUGAUUUCUGCUGACGAUGACUGCAAAAAAAAAAGAGAUCGAUUUGAAAAGGUUUUUAUCUUUUUCAAUGGAAUGUUUGAAAUGGAUUUUUCGAUAAAAUGAUUUCAAUAUGAUUUUCACGGAACAAUGACAAAUACGAAUGUGUGCGUUUUGUUUUGGGGUUUGCUGAAGUAAAUAAAAGCAAGAAAUGAGGACGCACCUGUCUUGUGCUCUCUGCUUCGAUGAUGAUGAUGAUGAUGAUGAUGAUGGUGACGAUGAUGGUCGUCGUCCGCAGUAACAGGCGGGCUCACCAUGAUGGGCUGGCGCAGGUGGAGAGGGGAGGGGUACAGGACCGACAGAGGCACCAUGACCGGAGACACCAUGACCCCCGAGCUCUGAAUGACCCC